Molecule: long non-coding RNA, 1056 nt
Organism: Capsicum annuum
Lineage: Eukaryota; Viridiplantae; Streptophyta; Magnoliopsida; Solanales; Solanaceae
Exons: 3
Source: RefSeq, a predicted model, not a curated record
AUUCCAACAAAAUAGCCACAUCUCUCUCUACAAUCUCUCUCCGCUGCUCCACCACCACCACUGCUCCACCACCGGCGAGUCCAUCACCACACUCUCCUCAAUCGCCUCUACCACCACCACUCCACCAAGAUAUCGCCUCUCAACAUCACCAACCAAACAAAACCAUCCUCCACCGGCGAAAUCCGCCACUGUCGACUCUCACCAUUUUCAUCCAUUUAUUGUCAUUUUCUCACACCUAAAUCCUACUCAUUUCCCUUCGCUACACACAUACACACUAACACUUGUCACAAUUCAUAUAAUUACCAACCCACUCUUCUCUAUACCGCUCUUUCCCAACACAUUCUUAGGGUUUGUAAACUAAAGAUUGAGUCGGAGUACUUGAAUUUUACUGUUUUAAUUCAGAAUCUAGCUUUAUCGACUAAAAAAUUCAAAAGUACAGUGAAGCAAAUAUGGAUGUUGCUGAUUCAUGAAGUGAUCAUCUUUCUUCUGCUUCCAGGCGUUAUCAAUCUGCUUUUCAAUCUUGAUCUAGAAUGAAAUGGGAGAAUCUUGAGGCGAAAAUGUUAAUGGGUUUUAAGGAACUUGAUGUGGAUGUUGAUAUAAGAAAGCAGUUUCAUUGUUGCUUUUGUUCUGAGUAUUUUGAUAUUGUUGGUUUAUGUUGCCAUAUUAAUGAUGAGCAUCCUGUUGAGGCCAAGAACGGGAUUUAUUGACAAAGAGUUUGAGCAGCCUACAACAUUCUCAUCUUUUGUCCAAGUUUGGCAUGAUCAGUAUCUUCAGUGUGCCCAGCUUGAAGGGGGUGUUGAGGACUAAUCAACUAAUUGCCAGUUGACCAGUUAGUCACUUCAUUAGUUGGCGUUAGUUAGAGUUAGUCAGAGGUAGUUACAGCUAAGAGAACAUGUAUAUAUACAACCAUGAGUAGCGUUGGUGGUUUUCAAGUUUCAUUCAAUAAAAUAGUUUCUUCCUUCUUUCUCUGUUUUGCUCUCACUGGUAGUUCCUUUAUGGAACUUUACAGUGUUUGAACGGUUUUCGUUGAUUAAUGAUGUUGGGAACUUAGAAUCA